Molecule: long non-coding RNA, 349 nt
Organism: Vombatus ursinus (common wombat)
Lineage: Eukaryota; Metazoa; Chordata; Mammalia; Diprotodontia; Vombatidae
Exons: 2
Source: RefSeq, a predicted model, not a curated record
AUUCAGUCAGAACAGGAGUGGGGAAACAAUAUCUUGUUCCAGUGCCUGGCCCUGUGUCAGCUGCAUUAAUUCCCGGAGUCACUCCAGCCCUGCCAAUGCCUAUGACAGAUUCUGAGAAUUGGAAGCCCGACUGACCCCAGGCCAGCUGAGCUUGCAUCCCAGGCGCCAGGUCCCACUUCAUCUAAAGAGGAAGAAGGGGAAGAUGGGAAGUGAUUUGGCCUUGCUGUGUGUGAGGCACCCUGCUCCUUGUCUAUCCCAUUGCUGUUUUGUAACUACUUUCUAAUUUUUUUAUUCACAAUUGGAAACACAAAUGUUAUGCAAGAAUAAAAAAUAUUUUGGGGGAAAAAUA